RNAcentral lists this ribosomal RNA (328 nucleotides) under uncultured bacterium. Its description in RNAcentral is "bacterial SSU rRNA". It matches the Rfam family "Bacterial small subunit ribosomal RNA", at positions 568 to 898 of the family's 1533-position model. The record is from RNAcentral.
UGCGCAGGCGGAUAUAUAAGUUAGAUGUGAAAUACCCGGGCUUAACCUGGGGACUGCAUUUAAAACUGUGUAUCUAGAGUUUGUCAGAGGGGGGUAGAAUUCCAAGUGUAGCAGUGAAAUGCGUAGAGAUUUGGAGGAAUACCGGUGGCGAAGGCGGCCCCCUGGGAUAGAACUGACGCUCAUGCACGAAAGCGUGGGUAGCAAACAGGAUUAGAUACCCUGGUAGUCCACGCCCUAAACGAUGUCUACUUGCUGUUGGGGGUAAAACCUGAGUAGCGAAGCUAACGCGAGAAGUAGACCGCCUGGGGAGUACGGUCGCAAGAUUAAA